GAUCCUGGCUCAGGACGAACGCUGGCGGCGUGCUUAACACAUGCAAGUCGAACGAAGAGCGAUGGAAGCUUGCUUCUAUCAAUCUUAGUGGCGAACGGGUGAGUAACGCGUAAUAAACCUGCCCUUCAGAGGGGGACAACAGUUGGAAACGACUGCUAAUACCGCAUACGAUUUAAUCUCGGCAUCGAGGAUAGAUGAAAGGUGGCCUCUACAUGUAAGCUAUCACUGAAGGAGGGGA
This 238-nucleotide ribosomal RNA is filed under the name uncultured bacterium. RNAcentral's name for it is "partial 16S ribosomal RNA". It matches the Rfam family "Bacterial small subunit ribosomal RNA", at positions 15 to 230 of the family's 1533-position model. The record is from RNAcentral.